AGGGGUAGAGCUCUGUGGAAGAGAGCUUGCCUAACAUAUGCAAGGCCCUGGGUUCAAUCCCUAGUAUCUCAA
Molecule: transfer RNA, 72 nt
Filed under: Marmota monax (woodchuck)
Lineage: Eukaryota; Metazoa; Chordata; Mammalia; Rodentia; Sciuridae
Description: tRNA.Val
Source: RNAcentral